RNAcentral lists this long non-coding RNA (1302 nucleotides) under Gossypium barbadense (sea-island cotton). RNAcentral's name for it is "long non-coding RNA (GBAR_LNC001056)". The record is from RNAcentral. Lineage: Eukaryota; Viridiplantae; Streptophyta; Magnoliopsida; Malvales; Malvaceae.
AACAUUUAUCAAAAAAAAAAGCCAAAUCAAAUGGCUAAAUACUUGACCAAAUCAUGUAGGCUACAUUAGCCCAACAACCUAUACAAUGCCAUUAUAACCCAAAAAUAAUAAACCAUGAGUACCAAAAUAGCCAAUAGAUAGUGUGAUGAUGUCUCUGACUCUUCCAACUGCGCGAACUUCCGAUAUCUAGAUACACAAAGAAUUUUAAAACGACGUAAGUAUAAAAUGCUUAGUAAGUUUGUAAUUCAAAGAAGUAAAGCCUAUAACUUCAAUUUAUAAGCAUAAUUUAUUUAAGUCACUCCAACAUGCCUUGGCCUUAGCCUAACCAACAUUAGCCUUUCAAUUUUAAACAUCACAUGAACUAGCAAAUUAUUACAAAACAUUAUGACAUAAGUUUACAUUACUUAUGUGCAUUCACAUAUCAACCAUAUAGCUAAAUAUAUUUUAAUCAUCCAAAAACUCAUUCUUCUCCAUUCUUUCAAUAGCAAUUCAAAUUGAAGAAUUUUUCAAUCUUUACCUUUUUCUCAUAUCCAUUGAACCACAAUUUAAAUGAAUAAACAUAUCAUAAUAUAACUCAUAUUGUUCCACCAACCUAUCAUACAUUCAUUCACAAGGUUAGCUACGAAAUUCACAAAUUUCAUCAAUUCAAUGCUUGUACAGUUCUUGUACAUACCUGUACCAUCUCGUACCAAUUUCAUACUCAUCCAUAUUUUUGAUAUACCCAUUGAACCAUUUGGAAUAAAUAUUGGAUACUCGGGAAUCUUGCACACUAAGUGCUAAUAUCAUGGCUCGAAGCCAAAUCAAUGUAACUUUAAUGACAUGCCCUUUGUAUCUUAAUUUAUUCCUAAGGUUCAACUGGGUUUUCCAAUGCUAAAUUUUCAUAAAAUACUUCCGUACAAUCAUAAUCAUCAACAAUUCAAAUAUACAGCAUUAAAUCUCAAUUAUAAUAAUGUUUAUUAACAAGCUCAUACAUCCAUGUACAUACCUGUACCGAUCCAUAACAAAAUCAUACUUACACGAAAUGUCGCUGCACAAUCGAUGUCUUGCACGCUAAGUGCUAUACCGGAUGUUUCGCACACUAAGUGCCAUCCUCGAUACUUCGUACACUAAGUGCCAUUUCGGAUGUUUCGCACACUAAGUGUCAUCAUCAAUACUUCGUAUACUAAGUGCCAUUUCGGAUGUCUCGCACACUAAGUGCCAUCCUCAAUACUUCGGACGCUAAGUGCCAUUUCAAAUGUCUCGCACACUAAGUGCCAUUUCAGAUGUCUCGCACACUAAGUGUCAUCCUCAAUACUUCGCACA